GGGCUCCUUCGGGAGCACCGGCGGACUGCUCAGUAACACGUGGACAACCUACCCUCGGGUGGGGGAUAACCUCGGGAAACUGAGGCUAAUACCCCAUAGGCCUCGGAUACUGGAAGGUUCCGAGACCGAAAGCUCCGGCGCCCGAGGAUGGGUCUGCGGCCUAUCAGGUAGUUGGUGGUGUAAAGGACCACCAAGCCUACGACGGGUACGGGCCCUGAGAGGGGGAGCCCGGAGAUGGACUCUGAGACACGAGUCCAGGCCCUACGGGGCGCAGCAGGCGCGAAACCUUCGCAAUGCGCGAAAGCGCGACGAGGGGAGCCCGAGUGCCCUUCCUUUCGGGAGGGCUUUUCUGGAGCCUAAAAAGCUCCAGGAAUAAGGGCUGGGCAAGACGGGUGCCAGCCGCCGCGGUAAUACCCGCAGCUCGAGUGGUGACCACUAUUA
RNAcentral lists this ribosomal RNA (441 nucleotides) under uncultured archaeon. Its description in RNAcentral is "bacterial SSU rRNA". It matches the Rfam family "Archaeal small subunit ribosomal RNA", at positions 62 to 503 of the family's 1478-position model. The record is from RNAcentral.